This 253-nucleotide ribosomal RNA is filed under the name uncultured bacterium. RNAcentral's name for it is "partial 16S ribosomal RNA". It matches the Rfam family "Bacterial small subunit ribosomal RNA", at positions 524 to 776 of the family's 1533-position model. The record is from RNAcentral.
UACGUAGGGUGCAAGCGUUGUCCGGAAUUAUUGGGCGUAAAGAGCUCGUAGGCGGUUUGUCGCGUCUGCUGUGAAAACUCGGGGCUUAACCCCGGGCCUGCAGUGGGUACGGGCAGACUAGAGUGCGGUAGGGGAGACUAGAAUUCCUGGUGUAGCGGUGAAAUGCGUAGAUAUCCGGAAGAACACCGGUGGCGAAGGCGGCCUGCUGGGCAGUGGCUGACGCUGAGGCGCGACAGCGUGGGGAGCAAACAGG